Molecule: small RNA, 181 nt
Filed under: uncultured Collinsella sp.
Lineage: Bacteria; Bacillati; Actinomycetota; Coriobacteriia; Coriobacteriales; Coriobacteriaceae
Description: Collinsella-1 RNA
Rfam family: Collinsella-1 RNA (bases 20-181)
Source: RNAcentral
CGAGAGUGCGGAACAUCCCGCCGUGAUGGCAGAUGUAGAUAAACGGUGGAACGGCUGUAAAAGAGUCUUGCCACUGGGUAAAAUCAGGAUGUGCCGCGGAACCCGCUCCUCAGCUACUCAAACUUCGGAGACGCGGGCAACGCAGGUGCUAUCGUCUUAAAGGGUCGGCUGCAACCGGCCC